CCUACGGGAGGCAGCAGUGGGGAAUAUUGCACAAUGGGGGAAACCCUGAUGCAGCGACGCCGCGUGAGUGAAGAAGUAUUUCGGUAUGUAAAGCUCUUUCAGCAGGGAAGAAAAUGACGGUACCUGACUAAGAAGCACCGGCUAACUACGUGCCAGCAGCCGCGGUAAUACGUAGGGGCAAGCGUUAUCCGGAUUUACUGGGUGUAAAGGGAGCGUAGACGGUAGAGCAAGUCUGAAGUGAAAGCCCGCGGGUCAAAUGCGGGACUGCCUUGGAAACUGUUCAACUGGAGUGCUGGAGAGGUAAGCGGAAUGCCUGGUGGAGCGGUGAAAUGCGUAGAUAUUAGGAAGAACACCAGUGGCGAAGGCAGCUUACUGGACAGUAACUGACGUUGAGGCUCGAAAGCGUGGGGAGCAAACAGGAUUAGAUACCCGGGUAGUC
This 439-nucleotide ribosomal RNA is filed under the name uncultured bacterium. RNAcentral's name for it is "partial 16S ribosomal RNA". It matches the Rfam family "Bacterial small subunit ribosomal RNA", at positions 338 to 795 of the family's 1533-position model. The record is from RNAcentral.